UCCGCGAUGGCAGUCGGUGCUU
RNAcentral lists this non-coding RNA (22 nucleotides) under Drosophila melanogaster (fruit fly). The record is from RNAcentral. Lineage: Eukaryota; Metazoa; Arthropoda; Insecta; Diptera; Drosophilidae.